RNAcentral lists this ribosomal RNA (465 nucleotides) under uncultured bacterium. Its description in RNAcentral is "partial 16S ribosomal RNA". It matches the Rfam family "Bacterial small subunit ribosomal RNA", at positions 28 to 507 of the family's 1533-position model. The record is from RNAcentral.
GACGAACGCUGGCGGCGUGCUUAACACAUGCAAGUCGAACGGAAAGGCCCUGCUUGCAGGGUACUCGAGUGGCGAACGGGUGAGUAACACGUGGGUGAUCUGCCCUGCACUUCGGGAUAAGCCUGGGAAACUGGGUCUAAUACCGGAUAGGAGCCAUUUUUAGUGUGAUGGUUGGAAAGUUUUUUCGGUGUAGGAUGAGCUCGCGGCCUAUCAGCUUGUUGGUGGGGUAAUGGCCUACCAAGGCGGCGACGGGUAGCCGGCCUGAGAGGGUGGACGGCCACACUGGGACUGAGAUACGGCCCAGGCUCCUACGGGAGGCAGCAGUGGGGAAUAUUGCACAAUGGGCGCGAGCCUGAUGCAGCGACGCCGCGGGGGGGAUGACGGCCUUCGGGUUGCAACCUCCUUUCGCUAGGGACGAAGCCUUUUGUGCCGGUACCUAGAUAAGAAGCACCGGAUAACUACGUG